Molecule: ribosomal RNA, 115 nt
Filed under: uncultured eukaryote
Lineage: Eukaryota
Description: partial small subunit ribosomal RNA
Source: RNAcentral
UUUGUUGCACCAGAAGUAGCUAGCCUAACWGCAAWGAGGGCGGUUACCACGGUGUGGCCGAUGACUGGGGUGAAGUCGUAACAAGGUAGCCGUAGGUGAACCUGCAGAAGGAUCA